GGUAACCUGGUUAUUUUGAGCGCGUCACUUCGUCUUGUCUCCAAGUUAUAGGUUCCCAUUGCCAAGGUUGGGCGCAGCACUUAACUGAUAUUGUUAUAGGCUACUUAUUGAUGGAGUAGACAUCGAUAGAAAUCGGCACACUAUUGACAACACAACGAAAGAAAGUUGGACACAUUCCUGUGGUUUCUUUCUUAUCCGAAUGAUACAUUUAUUUGGCCUACAUAAUAAUGUCAUAAAAUUCGCAUAUUAUAGUCUAAUAGGCAUAGUGGCCGUUAUUAAGAAACAUCUUAGAGUUUAUGUAAGCUUGGCACUAGGCAAUAUUAAGAUUUUAGAUGAUUAUUAUAUUGGCCCGUCAUUUCUCUUGCGCUCCUACUUCUUUUGGUGGUGUGGUGCGACUCCACGUGGCAACAAAUUGAGGAUUAUUGUAGUAACAAGAACGAAUAAACCCAAAGAGCACGCCCUACUCUCUGUGCGUAAUGACGCACUUGCGCAGGAGCAAUGUCACAGUCGCAACACCGAGACAGCGCCACCGAUUUAUUCUAAACUGAAUAAUAAUUGUUAUAAACCACAGAUACGGAUGUUCAUCCUCAUUCCAACAACGAUUUGCAUAACAUUUCCAAUCCAUUGUGAGGGUCGUGUAGUGGGGCCCGUGAGCGGCGGAUGAGGGUGGGGUCCAGCAUCAGCGGCGCCCUGCAGCCUCCCAAUGGUCUCCCCCACUAUGAAGGCACUGGUGGACGCUGUGUGGGCGGUGUGGAGCAUCGGUGCCUCCGUCUAUGACUACAUCCACACCAGCGCCAUGGAGGAGCGCAUCCACACGCUGGAGACCGUCAUCACCAUCCACCAGUGUGUCAUCGCAGCGCUGACCGCUGGAGUGGUGGUGCUCUUCACCUACAUACUGUUGAGGAAGCACUGAGGGGGAGUGAUGAAGGAGAAGCCACGCAGGGCCCAGGAAGCUAGUUUUGUGGACAACAUAGGAUUACCAGAGUGAUCAGAAGCAUUGAGAGUGUGGGUCUGGAAAGUCAUCCAGAGCCCUGGAGAGACCUACCGGCCUACAUGGAUUAGAUUGAGGAGGACUUGAUUAAUAAGGGAUUUUGGCUACUAGAAAAGUUUUGGGCUAUUUGGCCUUUAUUUCGGCUGACAAUUGUACCAUUCUACUGCGGGGGUGUUGCUGGACACUGUGUCUCAGGGAGUCAAUGGUUUCACUCACUUUGCACCCAUGGAAGAUGAAGACAUGGGCAGAGAUGGGCAAAAGAUGCAUGAAAAUGUAUCUUUUUACAAAUACAAGUUACUUUAAAGACCAAUGUAUAAAACUAAAAUACAAAAUACUUUUGUGAAGAAUUGUAUUUAGAAUGAUUAAUUCUUUAAUAGAAAAUACAUUUGCAAGUACAUGCCUUCACUACAACAGUAUUCUUAGUAACAGAAACAAAAAACCAUUUAACUUGCUAUGACUGUAAUAUGUGGUUGUUUAUCUACCUUGGUUGAAUACACUGACUAAGUCACUGUGGUUAAAUGUCUGCUAAAUUACCUAAAUGUAAAAAUGUAAUAAUUGCAAAGCA
This is a long non-coding RNA of Oncorhynchus keta (chum salmon), 1556 nucleotides long. RefSeq lists it as uncharacterized. The record is from RefSeq and is a predicted model, not a curated record. The transcript has 2 exons. Lineage: Eukaryota; Metazoa; Chordata; Actinopteri; Salmoniformes; Salmonidae.